UUAAAUUGAAGAGUUUGAUCAUGGCUCAGAUUGAACGCUGGCGGCAGGCUUAACACAUGCAAGUCGAACGGUAACAUUUCUAGCUUGCUAGAAGAUGACGAGUGGCGGAC
This 110-nucleotide ribosomal RNA is filed under the name Psychromonas algicola. RNAcentral's name for it is "Psychromonas sp. RZ5 partial 16S ribosomal RNA". It matches the Rfam family "Bacterial small subunit ribosomal RNA", at positions 1 to 103 of the family's 1533-position model. The record is from RNAcentral. Lineage: Bacteria; Pseudomonadati; Pseudomonadota; Gammaproteobacteria; Alteromonadales; Psychromonadaceae.